ACACACACACACACACACACAUGCAAUACCCAUACAUAAACACAUUGUCUCCAGUGCCCCCCAAAAUGUAUCUCUGAAAAAGACUGUGUGUGUGUGUGUGUGUGUGUGU
Podarcis lilfordi (Lilford's wall lizard) is the source of this 109-nucleotide non-coding RNA. NCBI's taxonomy places the organism in Eukaryota, Metazoa, Chordata, Lepidosauria, Squamata, Lacertidae. The record is from the annotation of a GenBank genome assembly.